This 72-nucleotide transfer RNA is filed under the name Mobilisporobacter senegalensis. It matches the Rfam family "tRNA". From Rfam's summary of the family: Transfer RNA (tRNA) molecules are approximately 80 nucleotides in length. Their secondary structure includes four short double-helical elements and three loops (D, anti-codon, and T loops). Further hydrogen bonds mediate the characteristic L-shaped molecular structure. tRNAs have two regions of fundamental functional importance: the anti-codon, which is responsible for specific mRNA codon recognition, and the 3' end, to which the tRNAs corresponding amino acid is attached (by aminoacyl-tRNA synthetases). tRNAs cope with the degeneracy of the genetic code in two manners: having more than one tRNA (with a specific anti-codon) for a particular amino acid; and 'wobble' base-pairing, i.e. permitting non-standard base-pairing at the 3rd anti-codon position. The record is from Rfam by way of RNAcentral. Lineage: Bacteria; Bacillati; Bacillota; Clostridia; Lachnospirales; Lachnospiraceae.
UGGGCUAUCGCCAAACGGUAAGGCACUGGACUCUGACUCCAGCAUCUAUAGGUUCGAAUCCUAUUAGCCCAG